GCGCUGCCUUUGGGCCCCCGCUGCGCAUGUCCGUGGUGUCGGUGGGUCAAGCUGCAGCACCAGAGAACUUGUUCUUUUAACCACGAGCAACACGG
Fukomys damarensis (Damara mole-rat) is the source of this 95-nucleotide small nucleolar RNA. The record is from Ensembl. Lineage: Eukaryota; Metazoa; Chordata; Mammalia; Rodentia; Bathyergidae.